Molecule: long non-coding RNA, 102 nt
Organism: Bufo bufo (common toad)
Lineage: Eukaryota; Metazoa; Chordata; Amphibia; Anura; Bufonidae
Exons: 3
Source: RefSeq, a predicted model, not a curated record
AGGAGGAGAUAUAGGGAGAGGUUAUAUGAAGUAAUAGUAGGAGAUAUAGGGAGAAGUUAUAUGGAGUAAUAGGAGGAGAUAUAGGGAGAGGUUAUAUGGAGU